UACAGAGGGUGCGAGCGUUAAUCGGAAUGACUGGGCGUAAAGGGCGCGUAGGUGGGUUGAUAAGUGAGAUGUAAAAGCCCCGGGCUUAACCUGGGAAAGUGAUUUUAGACUGUCAACCUGGAGUACAGUAGAGGGUAGAAGAAUUUCCGGUGUAGCGGUGAAAUGCGUAGAUAUCGGAAGGAACACCAGUGGCGAAGGCGGCUACCUGGACUGAAACUGACACUGAGGCGCGAAAGCGUGGGUAGCAAACAGG
RNAcentral lists this ribosomal RNA (253 nucleotides) under uncultured bacterium. Its description in RNAcentral is "partial 16S ribosomal RNA". It matches the Rfam family "Bacterial small subunit ribosomal RNA", at positions 524 to 776 of the family's 1533-position model. The record is from RNAcentral.